UGGGGAAUAUUGGACAAUGGGCGAAAGCCUGAUCCAGCCAUGCCGCGUGUGUGAAGAAGGUCUUCGGAUUGUAAAGCACUUUAAGUUGGGAGGAAGGGCAGUAAGCGAAUACCUUGCUGUUUUGACGUUACCGACAGAAUAAGCACCGGCUAACCCUGUGCCAGCAGCCGCGGUAAUACAGAGGGUGCAAGCGUUAAUCGGAAUUACUGGGCGUAAAGCGCGCGUAGGUGGUUCGUUAAGUUGAAUGUGAAAGCCCCGGGCUCAACCUGGGAACUGCAUCCAAAACUGGCGAGCUAGAGUAGGGCAGAGGGUGGUGGAAUUUCCUGUGUAGCGGUGAAAUGCGUAGAUAUAGGAAGGAACACCAGUGGCGAAGGCGACCACCUGGGCUCAUACUGACACUGAGGUGCGAAAGCGUGGGGAGCAAACAGG
Molecule: ribosomal RNA, 429 nt
Filed under: Pseudomonadota bacterium
Lineage: Bacteria; Pseudomonadati; Pseudomonadota
Description: Proteobacteria bacterium partial 16S ribosomal RNA
Rfam family: Bacterial small subunit ribosomal RNA
Source: RNAcentral